UAGCUCAGUGGUAAGAGUUCUUGCCUAGUAUGUAUGAAGUCCUGGGUUCAAACCCUAG
Molecule: transfer RNA, 58 nt
Filed under: Marmota marmota marmota (Alpine marmot)
Lineage: Eukaryota; Metazoa; Chordata; Mammalia; Rodentia; Sciuridae
Also listed under: 3 other names
Rfam family: tRNA
About the family: Transfer RNA (tRNA) molecules are approximately 80 nucleotides in length. Their secondary structure includes four short double-helical elements and three loops (D, anti-codon, and T loops).
Source: Rfam by way of RNAcentral